Long non-coding RNA from Aethalodelphis obliquidens (Pacific white-sided dolphin), 324 nucleotides. RefSeq lists it as uncharacterized. Lineage: Eukaryota; Metazoa; Chordata; Mammalia; Artiodactyla; Delphinidae. The transcript has 2 exons. The record is from RefSeq and is a predicted model, not a curated record.
UUGGGGAAUCCCGUGGUGGAAUCUGCGCCUACCUGGCGGUAGUACUACUUAGGUUCUUUGCUGUAGAAAGAGGGCUUCUGGCCAACCCUGCUGGUACUGGAAGGCACAGACAACUCUAGGGCUGGUCAUGACUGUUUCAGGCCUGAUGUGCAAGCCAAUGGAUCAGUGUACAGAAGACCCAGUGGCACUCGCGUCAGUGGUUCUCUGGACCUGCCCCGGCUGCACCCUCAGGCCACACUUUACUUACCUGCAGCUGCUUCCAUGGCAGCUUUGGCUGCACCACUCUCGAGGACUGACAGAUAAAAUACAGGACACCCAGUUAAA